This 78-nucleotide transfer RNA is filed under the name Caudoviricetes sp. RNAcentral describes it as "tRNA-Thr". It matches the Rfam family "tRNA". Rfam says of the family: Transfer RNA (tRNA) molecules are approximately 80 nucleotides in length. Their secondary structure includes four short double-helical elements and three loops (D, anti-codon, and T loops). Lineage: Duplodnaviria; Heunggongvirae; Uroviricota; Caudoviricetes. The record is from RNAcentral.
GCUAGAUUAGCUCAGUUGGCAGAGCGAUUGAUUUGUAAUCAAUAGGUUCCUAGGGUUCGAGCCCCUAAUCUAGCUCCA